This 134-nucleotide ribosomal RNA is filed under the name uncultured eukaryote. RNAcentral's name for it is "partial small subunit ribosomal RNA". It matches the Rfam family "Eukaryotic small subunit ribosomal RNA", at positions 1651 to 1783 of the family's 1831-position model. The record is from RNAcentral.
CCCUGCCAUUUGUACACACCGCCCGUCGCUCCUACCGAUUGGAUGUGCUGGUGAAGCGUCAGGAUCGGCGGCUAUGGUUGGGUUUCCGCCAUGGCUGCUGAGAAUCUCGUUGAACCCUCCCAUCUAGAGGAAGG